GAUGAACGCUAGCGGCAGGCCUAAUACAUGCAAGUCGAACGGGAUCCAGAUCAAAGCUUGCUUUGGUCUGGUGAGAGUGGCGCACGGGUGCGUAACGCGUGAGCAACCUACCCUUGUCAGGGGGAUAGCCCGGCGAAAGUCGGAUUAAUACCGCAUGACAUCAUUGAGAGGCAUCUUUCGAUGAUCAAAGAUUUAUCGGACAAGGAUGGGCUCGCGUGACAUUAGCUAGUUGGUAAGGUAACGGCUUACCAAGGCUGCGAUGUCUAGGGGCUCUGAGAGGGUAACCCCCCUCACUGGGACGGGGACCCGGACCGGACUCCUACGGGGGGCAGACGGAAGGAAUAGGGGGCAAUGGAGGGAAUUCGAAACCGGCCGCGCCGCUGGUAGGGGGACGCCCUGUUGGGUUUGAAAGUUUUUUUAUAGGGAAAAAAACGCAGGUACGUGGACGGGUCUGAGUGGACCGGAAGAAUAAGGGUCGGCUAACUCCUG
This 489-nucleotide ribosomal RNA is filed under the name uncultured bacterium. RNAcentral describes it as "partial 16S ribosomal RNA". It matches the Rfam family "Bacterial small subunit ribosomal RNA", at positions 28 to 506 of the family's 1533-position model. The record is from RNAcentral.